AUUGAACGCUGGCGGCAGGCCUAACACAUGCAAGUCGAACGAGUGGCGGACGGGUGAGUAAUGUCUGGGCAACUGCCUGAUGGAGGGGGAUAACUACUGGAAACGGUAGCUAAUACCGCAUACCAUCGGAUGUGCCCAGAUGGGAUUAGCUAGUUGGUGGGGUAAAGGCUCACCUAGGCGACGAUCCCUAGCUGGUCUGAGAGGAUGACCAGCCACACUGGGACUGAGACAGGGCCCUGCCGCCUACGGGAGGCAGCAGUGGCGAAUUUUGGACAAUGGGGGAAACCCUGAUCCAGCGAUCCCGCGUGUCUGAUGAAGGCCUUCGGGUUGUAAAGUACUUUUGGCGGAGAAGCGGUAUCUGCAGAAUAAGCACCGGCUAACUACGUGCCAGCAGCCGCGGUAAUAC
This 406-nucleotide ribosomal RNA is filed under the name uncultured bacterium. Its description in RNAcentral is "partial 16S ribosomal RNA". It matches the Rfam family "Bacterial small subunit ribosomal RNA", at positions 30 to 526 of the family's 1533-position model. The record is from RNAcentral.